This 733-nucleotide ribosomal RNA is filed under the name Salinivibrio costicola subsp. costicola. RNAcentral's name for it is "bacterial SSU rRNA". It matches the Rfam family "Bacterial small subunit ribosomal RNA", at positions 656 to 1388 of the family's 1533-position model. The record is from RNAcentral. Lineage: Bacteria; Pseudomonadati; Pseudomonadota; Gammaproteobacteria; Vibrionales; Vibrionaceae.
GGGGGGUAGAAUUUCAGGUGUAGCGGUGAAAUGCGUAGAGAUCUGAAGGAAUACCAGUGGCGAAGGCGGCCCCCUGGACAAAGACUGACGCUCAGAUGCGAAAGCGUGGGUAGCAAACAGGAUUAGAUACCCUGGUAGUCCACGCCGUAAACGCUGUCUACUUGGAGGUUGAGGUUUUAGACUUUGGCUUUCGGCGCUAACGCAUUAAGUAGACCGCCUGGGGAGUACGGCCGCAAGGUUAAAACUCAAAUGAAUUGACGGGGGCCCGCACAAGCGGUGGAGCAUGUGGUUUAAUUCGAUGCAACGCGAAGAACCUUACCUACUCUUGACAUCCAGCGAAGCCUUUAGAGAUAGAGGUGUGCCUUCGGGAGCGCUGAGACAGGUGCUGCAUGGCUGUCGUCAGCUCGUGUUGUGAAAUGUUGGGUUAAGUCCCGCAACGAGCGCAACCCUUAUCCUUGUUUGCCAGCACAUAAUGGUGGGAACUCCAGGGAGACUGCCGGUGAUAAACCGGAGGAAGGUGGGGACGACGUCAAGUCAUCAUGGCCCUUACGAGUAGGGCUACACACGUGCUACAAUGGCAGAUACAGAGGGCAGCGAGACAGCGAUGUUUAGCGAAUCCCUUAAAGUUUGUCGUAGUCCGGAUUGGAGUCUGCAACUCGACUCCAUGAAGUCGGAAUCGCUAGUAAUCGUGGAUCAGAAUGCCACGGUGAAUACGUUCCCGGGCCUUGUACAC